UCCGGUUUGUCACCGGCAGUCUCCUUAGAGUUCCCGACAUUACUCGCUGGCAACUAAGGACAAGGGUUGCGCUCGUUGCGGGACUUAACCCAACAUCUCACGACACGAGCUGACGACAGCCAUGCAGCACCUGUCUCACGGUUCCCGAAGGCACAUCCGCAUCUCUGCAGACUUCCGUGGAUGUCAAGACCAGGUAAGGUUCUUCGCGUUGUACACCUGAAC
This 222-nucleotide unclassified non-coding RNA is filed under the name uncultured Lysobacteraceae bacterium. RNAcentral describes it as "uncultured Xanthomonadaceae bacterium contains 16S-23S intergenic spacer region". Lineage: Bacteria; Pseudomonadati; Pseudomonadota; Gammaproteobacteria; Lysobacterales; Lysobacteraceae. The record is from RNAcentral.